UCUGCUGGUCUGGACUGGAAAUUGCCUUAGUUAAGAACAACUGUCUCCUCGAUGACGGACACCAUCCUCAGGGACAUAGAUAUGAUGCCUGGAGGUACAGCAGCCAUCUUGCAACCUCGAAAAAAAAGCCACUCACUUCAGGAUGGCGGAGCGGGAAAGUAAAAGAGCUGAGGCCCUAGAUGACAUCCGUAAGUGGCUGAACUUUCCUCUGACUUCUUGUCAGAAUGUGACAAAAGCCCUGAGUGGGAACUUCCAAGACCUGGCAAAACCAGCCGCCACGUAGGCAGCCAGACUACCCUGAGAACGCCAUGCUGUAAGGAAGCCCACGCUAACCACGUGGAGAGGCAACAUGAUGGAGCACCAAAGUAGACAGACCUGUGAGCAUGCCUUCCUGGACCUGCCAGCCCAGCUACCAGCUGAGUGCUUCCAAGUUCUCCAGCUGACACCUCUUGGAGAAGAAAACUGCUCAA
Non-coding RNA from Delphinapterus leucas (beluga whale), 470 nucleotides. Lineage: Eukaryota; Metazoa; Chordata; Mammalia; Artiodactyla; Monodontidae. The record is from RefSeq and is a predicted model, not a curated record.